GCGGAAGUGGCUCAGUUGGUAGAGCACAACCUUGCCAAGGUUGGGGUCGCGGGUUCGAGCCCCGUCUUCCGCUCCA
Molecule: transfer RNA, 76 nt
Filed under: Actinomycetes bacterium
Lineage: Bacteria; Bacillati; Actinomycetota; Actinomycetes
Also listed under: 3 other names
Description: tRNA-Gly
Rfam family: tRNA
About the family: Transfer RNA (tRNA) molecules are approximately 80 nucleotides in length.
Source: RNAcentral